This 503-nucleotide ribosomal RNA is filed under the name uncultured bacterium. Its description in RNAcentral is "bacterial SSU rRNA". It matches the Rfam family "Bacterial small subunit ribosomal RNA", at positions 8 to 521 of the family's 1533-position model. The record is from RNAcentral.
AGAGUUUGAUCCUGGCUCAGGAUGAACGCUGGCGGCGUGCCUAACACAUGCAAGUCGAACGAAGCGCUUAAGCUUGCUUGAGUGACUUAGUGGCGGGACGGGUGAGUAAUGCGUGAGCAACCUGCCUCAGAGAGGGGGACAACAGUUGGAAACGACUGCUAAUACCGCAUGAUGUAUCGAGAGGGCAUCCUUUUGAUACCAAAGAUUUAUCGCUUUGAGAUGGGCUCACGUCUGAUUAGCUAGUUGGUGAGGUAACGGCUCACCAAGGCUGCGAUCAGUAGCCGGACUGAGAGGUUGAACGGCCACAUUGGGACUGAGAUACGGCCCAGACUCCUACGGGAGGCAGCCAGUGGGGAAUAUUGGGCAAUGGGCGAAAGCCUGACCCAGCAACGCCGCGUGAAGGAAGAAGGUCUUCGGAUUGUAAACUUCUUUUAUGAGGGACGAAGAAAGUGACGGACCUUCAUGAAUAAGCCCCGGCUAACUACGUGCCAGCCAGCCGCGGU